This 484-nucleotide ribosomal RNA is filed under the name uncultured bacterium. RNAcentral's name for it is "partial 16S ribosomal RNA". It matches the Rfam family "Bacterial small subunit ribosomal RNA", at positions 29 to 507 of the family's 1533-position model. The record is from RNAcentral.
AUUGAACGCUGGCGGCAUGCUUUACACAUGCAAGUCGAACGGCAGCGCGGGCUUCGGCCUGGCGGCGAGUGGCGAACGGGUGAGUAAUACAUCGGAACGUGCCCAGUAGUGGGGGAUAGCUCGGCGAAAGCCGGAUUAAUACCGCAUACGACCUGAGGGUGAAAGCGGGGGAUCUUCGGACCUCGCGCUAUUGGAGCGGCCGAUGGCAGAUUAGCUAGUUGGUGGGGUAAAGGCCUACCAAGGCGACGAUCUGUAGCUGGUCUGAGAGGACGACCAGCCACACUGGGACUGAGACACGGCCCAAACUCCUACGGGAGGCAGCAGUGGGGAAUUUUGGACAAUGGGCGAAGGCCUGAUCCAGCAAUGCCGCGUGGGUGAUGAAGGCCUUCGGGUUGUAAAGCACUUUGGGCGGGAACGAAAAGGACUGUGCCAAUACCACGGUUCGAUGACGGUACCCGCAGAAUAAGCACCGGCUAACUACGUG